RNAcentral lists this ribosomal RNA (43 nucleotides) under Phytolacca thyrsiflora. Its description in RNAcentral is "partial 26S ribosomal RNA". The record is from RNAcentral. Lineage: Eukaryota; Viridiplantae; Streptophyta; Magnoliopsida; Caryophyllales; Phytolaccaceae.
UGCGACCCCAGGUCAGGCGGGGCUACCCGCUGAGUUUAAGCAU